RNAcentral lists this ribosomal RNA (305 nucleotides) under uncultured bacterium. RNAcentral's name for it is "bacterial SSU rRNA". It matches the Rfam family "Bacterial small subunit ribosomal RNA", at positions 337 to 634 of the family's 1533-position model. The record is from RNAcentral.
GCCUACGGGGGGCAGCAGUAGGGAAUCUUCCACAAUGGACGAAAGUCUGAUGGAGCAACGCCGCGUGGGUGAAGAAGGUCUUCGGAUCGUAAAACCCUGUUGUUAGGGAAGAAAGUGCGUGAGAGUAACUGUUCACGUUUCGACGGUAUCUAACCAGAAAGCCACGGCUAACUACGUGCCAGCAGCCGCGGUAAUACGUAGGUGGCAAGCGUUAUCCGGAUUUAUUGGGCGUAAAGGGAACGCAGGCGGUCUUUUAAGUCUGAUGUGAAAGCCUUCGGCUUAACCGGAGUAGUGCAUUGGAAACU